AGCGAACGCUGGCGGCAGGCCUAACACAUGCAAGUCGAACGAACUCUUCGGAGUUAGUGGCGGACGGGUGAGUAACACGUGGGAACGUGCCUUUAGGUUCGGAAUAACUCAGGGAAACUUGUGCUAAUACCGAAUGUGCCCUUCGGGGGAAAGAUUUAUCGCCUUUAGAGCGGCCCGCGUCUGAUUAGCUAGUUGGUGAGGUAAAGGCUCACCAAGGCGACGAUCAGUAGCUGGUCUGAGAGGAUGAUCAGCCACAUUGGGACUGAGACACGGCCCAAACUCCUACGGGAGGCAGCAGUGGGGAAUCUUGCGCAAUGGGCGAAAGCCUGACGCAGCAUGCCGCGUGAAUGAUGAAGGUCUUAGGAUUGUAAAAUUCUUUCACCGGGGACGAUAAUGACGGUACCCGGAGAAGAAGCCCCGGCUAACUUCGUG
This 432-nucleotide ribosomal RNA is filed under the name uncultured bacterium. Its description in RNAcentral is "partial 16S ribosomal RNA". It matches the Rfam family "Bacterial small subunit ribosomal RNA", at positions 29 to 507 of the family's 1533-position model. The record is from RNAcentral.